Molecule: ribosomal RNA, 302 nt
Filed under: uncultured bacterium
Lineage: Bacteria
Description: partial 16S ribosomal RNA
Rfam family: Bacterial small subunit ribosomal RNA
Source: RNAcentral
GCAGCCGCCGCGGUAAUACGGAGGGUGCAAGCGUUAAUCGGAAUUACUGGGCGUAAAGCGCACGCAGGCGGUUUGUUAAGUCAGAUGUGAAAUCCCCGAGCUUAACUUGGGGACUGCAUUUGAAACUGGCAAGCUAGAGUCUUGUAGAGGGGGGUAGAAUUCCAGGUGUAGCGGUGAAAUGCGUGGAGAUCUGGAGGAAUACCGGUGGCUAAGGCGGCCCCCUGGACAAAGACUGACGCUCAGGUGCGAAAGCGUGGGGAGCAAACAGGAUUAGAUACCCGCGUAGUCCCUGUCUCUUAUAC